RNAcentral lists this ribosomal RNA (485 nucleotides) under uncultured bacterium. RNAcentral's name for it is "bacterial SSU rRNA". It matches the Rfam family "Bacterial small subunit ribosomal RNA", at positions 28 to 507 of the family's 1533-position model. The record is from RNAcentral.
GACGAACGCUGGCGGCGUGGAUUAGGCAUGCAAGUCGAACGGUAUCAUCCUUUCGGGGGUGAGAGAGUGGCGAACUGGUGAGUAACACGUAGGUUAUCUACCCUCAAGACGGGACAACCCAGGGAAACUUGGGCUAAUACCGGAUGUGAGCAACUUUUAGUGUUUGAAAGGUGGCGUAAGCUGUCGCUUGGGGAUGAGCCUGCGUCCUAUUAGUUAGUUGGUGAGGUAACGGCUCACCUAGGCAAUGAUAGGUAGGCGGCCUUAACGGGUGGUCGCCCACACUGGGAUUGAGAUACGGCCCAGGCUCCUACGGGAGGCAGCAGUCGAGAAUAGUCUACAAUGGUCGGAAGACUGAUAGUGCGACGCCGCGUGAACGAUGAAUCCCUUCGGGGUGUAAAGUUCUUUUAUAUGUGAGCAGUGCUUCUUAUAUUAACAGUAUGGGGAGAGAGAUAUUAGCAUAUGAAUAAGCAACGGCUAACUCCGUG